UUUACUGUUCCAUUGCAUUUAAUAGAAAAAGAGGACUUUGUGGCAAAUAAAUCAAGAUUUUUAUAGAAAAUUCACAGCCUUUAUCCUUGUACUCUCAUAUUUGGCAAUUUGAUGACUGGUAGAUAUAGGAUUAUUGCAUGCAGUGCUAGCAUUGAUUUCCUUAAAACAAGUUUAUAAAUGUAGUUAUUGGUUAAGACAAGUAUAAAUAUGGCCAAAAUCAAGUACACCUUUUAGGGUGCGCUCGACUUUAGUGACUCAGCACGAGGUGUUUUGGAAUUUACAGGUUACUUAGAACUUUUUGUAAAAAAUAAACACUAGCACAUCAUAGAAAAUCAAGUGAGUAAUUUAUGUUUCAAAUUUUAUAACAAAAAUAUCUGUAUUAAAGGCUGUGGAUUUUCUAUAAAAAUCUUGAUUUGUUUGCCACAAAGUCCUCUUUUUCUAUCAAAUGCAAUGAAACAGUAAAAAAUAAUGCUUUGCAUCAAGUUUCCCCUUGGAACAUGUACUAAAUGGCCUAUCUCUAUUAUUUAUUUUAUCUUUAGUUUUGAUACAAUUGAGGUUUGAAAAAUUCGUACAAAAAUGG
RNAcentral lists this long non-coding RNA (580 nucleotides) under Mytilus galloprovincialis (Mediterranean mussel). Lineage: Eukaryota; Metazoa; Mollusca; Bivalvia; Mytilida; Mytilidae. The record is from RNAcentral.